GACGAACGCUGGCGGCGUGCUUAACACAUGCAAGUCGAACGGUGAAGCGCCUUCCUUUUUGGUGGGUGUGGAUGAGUGGCGAACGGGUGAGUAACACGUGAGUAACCUGCCCCCUUCUUCUGGAUAACCGCAUGAAAGUGUGGCGAAUACGGGAUAUUCUGGGUCUGUCGCAUGAUGGGUCUGGGAAAGAUAUUGUUUCGGUGGGGGAUGGGCUCGCGGCCUAUCAGCUUGUUGGUGGGGUGAUGGCCUACCAAGGCGGUGACGGGUAGCCGGCCUGAGAGGGUGCACGGUCACACUGGGACUGGGACACGGCCCAGACUCCUACGGGAGGCAGCAGUGGGGAAUAUUGCACAAUGGGCGCAAGCCUGAUGCAGCGACGCCGCGUGAGGGAUGGAGGCCUUCGGGUUGUGAACCUCUUUCGCCAGUGAAGCAGGCCUGCCUCGUUUGUGGGUGGGUUGACGGUAGCUGGAUAAGAAGCGCCGGCUAACUACGUG
This 494-nucleotide ribosomal RNA is filed under the name uncultured bacterium. Its description in RNAcentral is "partial 16S ribosomal RNA". It matches the Rfam family "Bacterial small subunit ribosomal RNA", at positions 28 to 507 of the family's 1533-position model. The record is from RNAcentral.